This 970-nucleotide long non-coding RNA is filed under the name Marmota monax (woodchuck). The record is from RNAcentral. Lineage: Eukaryota; Metazoa; Chordata; Mammalia; Rodentia; Sciuridae.
CAGGUCCUUGUGGCAGGAGCUCCCCUUGCUAGCAGGUGCUGGACUGCCAGAGUGGCCUGCCACUCCACAUUUAGGAAGGUCCCUUCUUGUCCUCAGCCAUGGACACCAAGUGCCACAUCAGUACCCAAUUCCUGGCCUCUCCAUCCUCAACCCACUUAUUCAUAUGGUGCCAUCCUUGCCUCCUGGCCAGCCCCACUCCAUAGCCAUUCCCCUGUCCUUACCAGCUGUGAUGGCCAUUUCAAAUGUCACUGUCUGGCUUUGCUCCUGUCUUCUGUUACUCCCACAGUACCUACAAUUCUGAGGCCCUGCCUUCCCCUUGCCCUGUGGUCUUUGACGCGCUGGCUGCCCCCCCUUCCUGGCCUGCCGCACCCUGCUUAUGCCUUGACUGCCUUGUUUUGUGGUUCAGGGUCAUCGUACUUUCCUGUAGACCCCUUCCCUGGGGAGUCCUCGUCCUGCCUUCUCUGCCCUUGCCCCCCUGAACGACUGGAGGAAAGCACAUGACGUGACCCCGGCCAGGUAGCCUUCAGCACUGCCCAGGGCCCCCUCGUCAGUUCACCCCGAGUCCAUGAAACCCCCAUGUUGUACUCUGUAGCUGUCUCCAGCUCUGCCCCCACUCUCAGCUGAUCAUCUUGCUUCUGAUCCCACUGAGAAACAGAAGUUGUCAGGAGUCCUUCAGCUACAGCAGGGCCACCUCCACCCCUAGGACAGCCACAGUCAAAAAACUAGACAACAAGAAGCCCUGGUGGGAGGGUGGAGGCCUGGUGCUCUGCUGGUGGGGAUAUGACGCCGUGCAACCUAGCACACCAGGAACAUGAGCUCAGUCAGAAGCCAGGCCACACGUUGUGUGACAAGAAAUGUCCAGAACAGGUAACCCAAGGAGACAGAAAGUGGGUCAUUGGCUGCCAGGGCCAGGGGCAGCAGGGGAUGGGAAGUGAUGGCUGACAGCCCAGGAUUUCCAUGUGGGAUGAGG